GGAAAAUAAAACAUCAGCUGCCUUCUCCAACGUUUCAUUAUUCUUCUUCACUUUUUCAUUUUCCAAACGCACACAUUUUUAUCACUUGCAGUCAAGCCUAUUCGAUUCUUCUGCUUUCCUAAAAUCACAAGGUGCCUUCUAACUAUCAUCAUUCUUCCAUCAUAAUUCUUUUUGAUUUGUCUUGAAUUGGGCCUUAAUUUUGUUCUUAAUGUAAAGCAUUUAUGUCUACUUUUGUCUUGAUUAUUUGUGAAUUUUCAGCCUUAAUUUUUACUCUCCGUUAAAUCAUAGGGUUUAUUUAAAGUUUAGAAUGUUUAUAUAUCUACUUGAUUAGUAAAUGGUUUAUCAAAAUUAGGGCUUUUUUAGUUCAGAUUGUUGAUUCGAGUUUCAACUCUUUAUUAGGGUAUUAUAUGCUUCUAAAUGAGCAAUCUUUUGUUGGAAUUAUUUUGGUGCUAGUGCUGUGAUGUGGGUUUUACUAAUUUAAUUACAUGAGCCAACAGGGGCUGAGAAUUGUAAAUGAAUUAAGAGGAAGUGUAUGGGUAUGAUUGUGAUUGAAAUGGGUUUGUUUCUUUGACAUUGAAUCAGUAAAGCUUUUAACUUUUUGUAACAAGUUUAGCUUUUGUAAGUGUACUGUGUAUAAAAAGGAUCUUUGCUUUGUAAGUGAAUUGGGGAAGUUCAUUUUAACACUGAAUGAAAGAAAUCGAUAAUGUUUUUAAAAUUUACAGGUUACAUAGAACCACAACGACUUGUCUGAUGGUUCUCGUAAUGAUAAUUUUCAUGUUUCAAACACCCGAAGAUAUGAUGCUCUGUUAUAGUUGUUUCUGUAUUCAUAGGGGAAUUUAUUAGAUAGACCUUUAUUGAACAAACAGAUGGAAAACUUUAUAAAACAAUGUCUUGUUAUUCAAAAAUAUGUUGAAUAUUUUUGGAUGAUACAAAUUUUGUGUUGAAACUUUCACAUGCUAAUGAAGCCAAUAUUUGUAUCAUUGUUGUAUGGUUCUUUUAAAGCAAUUAAAUAAAAAUGAUUACUGGUUACAUAUACGUGUGUUUAAUGCUGUAAAUGCACAAAAUAUAUGUCACGUGUAUAACCAAUUCUUAGAGUUGUCAUAUUUGACACCUUGCAGUCUUUUUUGUUGCUAGAAUUAUAGCAGAAACAUAAUUAGAGAGGUAUAAGAUUGUUGAGUGAGUAGAGAUAGAAUAGGUGGGUAAGAGAGUAUUAAUGGGAAUUAGAAGAGUAAUAGUGGGAGUAUAGUUGUUUCCAUGACCAACUAUAAUGAAGCAAACAAGGAGUAAAAAGAAAUAAAAAUUAAAAAGAGGAAAAAGAAAGUAGUUAGAGGUCGGGCAAUUGUUGUGGCAGCACAAAUUGUCAUGUUCUUUUACAAAGGUUACUUCCUAUUGGCAUUCGGGGAUGCUUACGAAAGGAUAUCUCUUCUACUUUAGCCGAGUUGGGAGAGUUUUUUAAACAACUAUGUUGUAAGACAUUAAAGGUGGAGGAACUUAUGAAGCUGCAAGGAGAUAUCAUUUCAAUACUUUGUAAACUUGAAAUGAUUUUUCCACCGGCAUUCUUUGAUGUAAUGGUCCAUCUAGCUGUUCAUCUACCAUCCGAGGCCAUUCUUGGUGGUCCAGUCCAAUUUAGAUGGAUAUUCCGUAUUGAGUGGUUUUUGGGACGUCUUAAGAAAUAUGUUCGAAAUAGAGCUCAUCCAGAGGGUUCAAUCGCUGAGGCAUACAUUGCCAAUGAAUGCUUGACAUUUUGCUCAAUGUAUUUGAGCGAUAUUGAAACCGAAUUCAAUAGAGAAGAGAGAAACAAUGAUAUUGUGAAGGGUGGUGGAUUGUCAGUUUUUUCGCACAAGUUGAGACCAAUUGGAGCAGCAAAAUAUGUUGACAUGGAGAAGUAGAUUGAUGUGUGUCAUUGGUAUAUCCUAAAUAAUUGUGCAGAGGUGGAGGUUUUCAUUGAGUACUUUAUUGUAGAAGAUGGUUUCAGUUUUAUGUCGCCGCUCUAAGGCUAAAGGGAAUUCUGCAACUAGUCCUUCUCAUGCAUCAAAUAGGGACUUGUUUGACACGUGUAUACCUAGACGUCCAGCAGCUUCAACAAUUCGGUUUUUUGCUUCUUUUGACAUGCAACUACUAUAGGAGUGGUAACUUUAUUGACAUCCAAGUAGUGAAGAAUAUAGUAUAUAUUUUGACAUCCAACUAACAAAGAAAGUAUAGUUAUUUUAUACUAUUGUUUAUAUGUUAGUUAUAGUUGGAUGUGUUUAUGAAACUAUUGGCUUAUAUAUAUAUAUAAUAUUUUGUUA
Molecule: long non-coding RNA, 2288 nt
Organism: Pistacia vera
Lineage: Eukaryota; Viridiplantae; Streptophyta; Magnoliopsida; Sapindales; Anacardiaceae
Exons: 4
Source: RefSeq, a predicted model, not a curated record